GUCAUGUUGCCUUGUCAUAUUUGACAAGACAACAUUUUGUUUUGUCAUGAGCAGACAUGCAUGCAAACAUUUCCAAUACACAUUAAAAAAACACUUUUGAGCAGAACUUUAUUCUCUCAUUGAAGAAAACAAAAUCAUGGAGGUUGAAUAAUGUCUGUGACCUCCAACUUUACUGGAGCUGAUGGCAUGAAGCGGUUGGGAUGAGGAUCAGCACCUCUAAAUCUCACGGCCUCGGCUCUCAACAGGAAACCAAUGGAUUGUCUAUUCCAGAACGUUUUUCCACGCUAGCUGGCGAUGAAGAUGAUUGAACAUGAUCGAAAGCUCCAGCACAGCAACUCAGCAGCUGUGUCAAAGGUCAAGAAGGAACUCUGAGCCUCUGCUUUGAAACGUUAGAGCCAGAGGACAAUGUGAUGAGGAUUACACAACAGGAUCGAACGCUCCCAAAGCGAACUGACGUUUUGCAUGUGUGCGUGCCGGCUCGCACGCUGGUUUGGAUGUUAAUGUGUGCGUGUGUCACAUACCGGCCCUCCCCCAGGCACUGCAGAGGCCUCUGAGUCUCGUGAAGUCAUUUCCUCUAUGAUGGGGGACCGUGGCUCUGUGGGGGCACAAAGCAUUACAGUCCUCCAGACCAGGACUCACUUGAGUCAGUGCAGACCAGUGCAGACCGGAGGAGCCCGAAGUCACAUCUGGUCCAGUCGCUGCAGAGAAGUCUGCAGGAAAACUCCUUCACCGUCAGACCAGGUUCGAAGGCCACAGACCUCGACCCGACAAGGGAAUGCUCUCCACCCAAUUAUAGAUGGAGAAAAGAGCUGAAUAAAUAAUCCAGUGAUUGAUGGAAACGUGGACAUUCCAACAUGUAUUAUUCUCUAGAACGUCGAUGACGAAAUGUGAUGCCGGAGCCAUUCGGCAGCUGUGUGGAUAUAUUAUGUUGUUUACACCUUUCCUUCUGCUCAAUUUGUUUCUUUUCUCAUGAAGCUACUAAUAAAAAAGACGCCCGAUUGAGCCAUGAUGCCAUCGGUUUCAUGUCAUCAUGUCAUUUCUUUCAAAUGUUCAUUAAACACUGUCUGGUUGAUUCCAGGAUUUCGUCGUUUUCUUUCUCUUAAAAAGAGUUCCUGCACUUAAUCAUCUUGCAUUUUUUUAAGAAGUGUAAGGAAGAAAGAAAUGUGUAUGAAAAUGUUAUUUUACUAUUUUUAUGUAGUUUUUGAUCACAAACUUGUAUUUUCAGUUUAACAAGUUGCCAGAUACAAG
Gasterosteus aculeatus aculeatus (three-spined stickleback) is the source of this 1248-nucleotide long non-coding RNA. Lineage: Eukaryota; Metazoa; Chordata; Actinopteri; Perciformes; Gasterosteidae. The record is from Ensembl.